Cyprinus carpio carpio is the source of this 4118-nucleotide long non-coding RNA. Lineage: Eukaryota; Metazoa; Chordata; Actinopteri; Cypriniformes; Cyprinidae. The record is from Ensembl.
UAAACAUACAGUUCUUUGCACACAAAAAAGUUACGGGACACUGAACUGUAUGCUGUUUGUGGAAAAUGCUCUAUCCAGUUACCUCUUGACCCCUAUGAGGACAAAAGCAAUGAGACACACAAACUUUGUGAGUUAUAGCUGUUUGUGCACUGUGAAACGGAAGUUUCCACCCCAGUAAUUCCCGAAUGGAGGGAAAAAAGGAAAAAGUGUUUGUGUAAUUUUUCUUCUUUAUGAGUUACAAAGUCAUACACACAUGCAUCAAAUGAAAUAGCUUUUCACUGGCACUCAAUAAUGGACACAAAAUCCUUCUUGCGGCUGCUGUGGGAUUGAUGUUGAACUCGCACUGGGACAGAUGUCUUUGUCUGGUUUUGGGGCAGUGGAGUGUUAAACGGCCCCGGCAAGAGUGGCUCCCCCCACACACACUCACUGCCAGCCGAACCAAAUUGUACUUUAACUCCAGGAAAGAUGAAAUGCUGCCUCUCAUGAGGGUUGCUGUCUAUCCGGCAUCUCGCCGACAUUUAUGGAAGAAGAACUCGCCGUUGCAUGGCUUCCGCUCGACUGACAAGCUCUGAAAAAAGCAAAGCAUAUCACGACUGUCAAGAGCAGCAAGUUCUGCUCUGAAACUGCACAGCAGGACCAGAUCUGAUCUUCAGCAUUAACUUGCAGUUCUGAAAAUGGGUAGGUGAAACAAUUCAGAGUGCCCUGCCCGGUCAGAACAGAACCAAUCCAGGUGACAUCAAACUCUCCCUGAAGGCAACACACGCACAUCAGUGCAGAAAACAACAGCACUUUGCAUCAUCAGCAAACAAGAGCAAGGUUUGAGAGCUUUCUGAAAGACAGUCCCAUGUUGGUUUUGGUAGCUUUGCUGUGGAAAUCCAGUCCAUGCUAAAACAGUCCACUGGAGUGAACCGUCGCAUGCGUCUUCAUCAUACAAUCAGAAAUGCAGACAAGAGCACGUCUUUGCUAGAAAGCAUCAUGGGGGGAAUUUGCACAUACAGUCAAUGCCAGGAGGUUUAGCCGAGGAGUACGGCAAACUGUUUUUCUUAAGUGUUACCAACCUAAGUGCUCCCAAAGAUUCCAAUAGAGUCUGUCACGGCGGAUCCGGCCCUCACAACGCAAGAUAAAAUGGCUCAUAAAAGUGCAGGCAAGUGAGCCCAUUUGUGUCUAUUAGAGAGAAAAGUUCCAGCAAGCCAGUCAUUGCUUGUCACUGUGGAGAUUCCUGCGGGAAUGCACUCUCUCCACCUGCGGCUAGCGCGUUAUUAUUUUACCUCCUUCCUUCUUUAUCCCUUUCUGUGAACUCAGAGGAGAAUGCAAGCUCUUCUUCUUUUGAAGAAGAGAAAUGUAUGUGUUUGCUCUUCUCUUAACAGCUAAAUUAGGCCGUGGACUGUGAGUGUGUAGGAUCCUGGAAACACGGAACAAAUGGAAUUAUUUGCCAGGACUUGUCUGAUCACACCGUUAUCUGGAUCUACAUUCCUUCUUUCAACUAGUAGGCCUAUAAGUACUGACAAGUAUAUAUGUUAUACUUAACUGCCAUUCUGUACUACAUUUAAAAACUACAUUUAAAAUAUAAUAAUGAUAAUAAUAAUAAUAAUAAUAAUAAUAAUAAUAAUAAUAAUUACAAAAACACAACAAAAUCACAAAAAUUUUAACUAAAUUUAAAAUGAAAACAUGGUAAAUUAUUAUUAAAAUGUAUUUAUUUAUUUAUUAAAAUAUUAAUUAAAAAUCUAAUUAAUAUAAACUAUAAAAGUAUCGCAAUUAUACUAAAAUAACUGUUAUUUUUACAUCUUACAAAUACAUACAUUUAUUUUAAAAUUGGUUUUAGUGCCUUAAUUGGCUGAAAUACAUUCAUAAUCUUUAAAUACUUUAUAAUAUUUAUAAUUGGUCUCUCUAUCUCUCUGUGUGUGUAUAUUUUAUACUGUACAUAUAUGCAACUUUUUUACACUACUUUGUUUUCAUUAAUUUUUUAUAACAUCUAUUCAUGCUUAAUAAUAAUAAUAAUAAUAAUAAUAAUAAUAAUAAUAAUAAUUUUAUUAUUAUUAUUAUUAUUAUUAUUAUUAUUCACAAUGGAUGUUGUUGUUUUUUGCAGCCUUAUAAUGAUAUUUUUUCAAAAAUGUUUCAAAAUGACUUAUAAUGGAUCAGUUUUUAAUUAAAAUUUUAAUCUUCAUAUUAUUUAUUGGACACAGUUAUAUAUGGAUUAUUGGUGUCAGUCAUAAAAAACAGUUUUGGUUAAUAUGUAACUUAUUUCACAUAUAGACGUCCUCAAUGUACAUUAUCUUAUUGGCAAGCAGUAAUAAAAGAAUGAAAGGACAGUACUUGAUCGUCUCUGUAUUAAAUAUGCUUCAGUGCUGUUCUGACAUUCUUAUGUGACCCAUAAAAACAUGUAUAUCAGUUCGCUGGCUCAUCUGAUUCACCGCUGACAGCAGGCCUAUGUAAUAUAGUCAUUUCAUCUGCAGAUGAGUGACCCCCAAAACUGCACAUUUCCGUGGAAGGUUUCAAAGAUGUCUUUCUUUGCGCUCAGAACAGCCUGAGUUGCAGCAGCAGAAGCAGAAGAAAGAUGAAGACAGAAAUGAGAAAGAGAGAUGAAGAAAUAGAAAUGAAAGGCAAACAUCAUUCAGAAGUGAUGGCAGAGAUCCAUCAGGCUGCCGGCUCUCACAGUAACGGAUAAAGAAGGGAAAAAACCCACUCCGACUCCGAUUCAUAUUGAUGACUGAGGAUCCUCAUCGGCCUGAAAAACAAGCGGGCAGGAAUGAGGUGUAUUUUCCAGCUUGAGUUCCAGGGCAUGUUCCUAUUAGUGGGGCAGCAGUCCUGAAGGAAACGGCAUGAGUCUGCAUGGAUAGAUGGCCUGUCACCCAGCCACACAGUUAUUCCUCUCCUGUCCUACAAUGAGCCGUAAUGGCCCGGGAGGUGAGAGAGGGACAGAGAGAGAGAGAGAGAGAGAGAGACUGGCUAUUAAUCUAACAUUCUGUAUAUCCUGGCUCACCUACUGAUAUGUCUUUUCCAAUCGCUGCUAUAAAACAUGUGCUGCGUUCUUUGUGUUCAGUGAUCUAAUGACAGUGGCCUGGGAAGUUUGGCAAAGCUCGUAAAUGUCAUCAACAGAUACACAUUUAGCAGGACAUUUACACACAAUUCACACCAGUAUUAAACUAUCAUAAAUUUGUAUUAUUUUGGCCAAGUUCCUGACGGUAGCUAUUGCAGUAUACUGCUGUUUUAAAGUUUUGUAAGCAGCAAGGAUUCAUUAAAUCGAUCAAAAGUGACAGUGAAGACAAUCAUAAUGUUACAAAAGAUUUCUGCUUCAAAUAAAUGCUGCUCAAAUCAACUGUUUUCAACAUUGAUAAUAAUCAGAAAUGUUUCUUAAGCAGCAAAUUAUCAUAUCAGAAUGAUUUCUGAAGGAUCAUGUGACACCGAAGACUUUGAUCACAUAAAUUACAUUUUUAAAACGUAUUCACAUACAAAACAUUUAUUUUAAAUUAGAAUAAUAUUUCACAAUAGUUUUUUAAUAGUUUUAAAACAUAAAAAAAAUCUUACCUACCCCAAACUUUUGAACCAUUGGUAUGUUUAAAUGAAAUAUAUACAUAAUCAGAUGCACAUUCUCAUGGCUUACUGUUUUUAUGUUUGCGUAGAUGUUUAGAAGCUAUUAAAAUAGGAAGACAUUUAGUCAGUUUUCAGAUGAGUUUUUCAGAAUAAACUACAGUAGGUGCCAGACUUUUCGCUCCUAGUUAAAAAUCUGUCCGGGGGUUGAGGGCAGCGCUGUGAACCUUGGCUCUGGUCUGAGCUGGAUUUGGCUGCAUUUGUUUCUCUGUUGUCCAAUCAGCAGGACAGCCGUUAACUGUUCAGUAGGCAUUUGGACCAGGACACUUACACAGAGUUUUAUUCAGUGGCUACAGAUGAGCAGCCCACAAAAAAACACAUCAUCAUCAUCAUCAUCAUCAUCAUGCAUGUGAAUAUUAAAUUAACAAAAUUAUGAUUUGUAAUAUUUAUUUUAUGCAAUACAUUGUUAUUUUCGUAUUAUUAAGGUAUAAGUAGUUUUAUUAAUAGUUUGAAUAAUUUCGUUCUAAUUUUAGUUUUAAGUAAAAACUAGUUUUUUUUUCUGUUUUUGUCCUUUUUCAUUUUCUUUUUUA